CGUGUGGUUCUAUUUUGUUGGUUCUUAGAGCUGCCGUAAUGAUUAAUAGGGAUAGUUGGGGGCAUUCAUAUUCAGUCGCUAGAGGUGAAAUUCUUGGAAUUGACUGAAGAUGAACUACUGCGAAAGCAUUUGCCAAGGAUGUUUUCAUUAAUCAAGAACGAAGGUUAGGGGAUCAAAAACGAUCAGAUACCGUUGUAGUCUUAACAGUAAACUAUGCCGACUAGGGAUCGGGCGACCUCUUUAUGAUGUGUGGCUCGGCACCUUACGAGAAAUCAAAGUCUUUGGGUUCUGGGGUGGAGUAUGGUCGCAAGGCUGAAACUUAAAGGAAUUGACGGAAGGGCACCACCAGGUGUGGAGCCUGCGGCUUAAUUUGACUCAACACGGGGAAACUCACCAGAAAAAAGACAUAACUAGGAUUGACAGAUUGAUAGCUCUUUCAUGAUUUUAUGGGUGGUGGUGCAUGGCCGUUCUUAGUUGGUGGAGUGAUUUGUCUGGUUAAUUCCGAUAACGAACGAGACCUUAACCUGCUAAAUAGUCAGGUUGGCUUCGGCUGAUCGUAUUGACUUCUUAGAGGGACUGUCAGUGUCUAACUGACGGAAGUUUGAGGCAAUAACAGGUCUGUGAUGCCCUUAGAUGUUCUGGGCCGCACGCGCGCUACACUGACAGAGCCAGCGAGUUUUCAAUCCCUUUGCCGGAAGGUAUGGGUAAUCUUGUGAAACUCUGUCGUGC
This 729-nucleotide ribosomal RNA is filed under the name uncultured fungus. RNAcentral's name for it is "SSU rRNA". It matches the Rfam family "Eukaryotic small subunit ribosomal RNA", at positions 827 to 1570 of the family's 1831-position model. Lineage: Eukaryota; Fungi. The record is from RNAcentral.